GAUGAACGCUAGCGGCAGGCUUAAUACAUGCAAGUCGAGGGGCAUCAAGGUACACGAAAGUGUAUUGUUGGCGACCGGCGGACGGGUGAGUAAUAGGUAGGUAACCUACCUCAUACUGAGGCAUAGCUGGGAGAAAUUCCAGGUAAUUCCUCAUGAGGUUAUAUGACACAUGUGAUAUAAUCAAAGGUAUCGCAAGGUACUGGUAUGAGAUGGGCUUACUGACCAUUAGCUAGUUGGUGAGAUAAGAGCUCACCAAGGCGAAGAUGGUUAGGGGUUUUGAGAGAGAGAUCCCCCACAUUGGAACUGAGAUACGGUCCAGACUCCUACGGGAGGCAGCAGUGGGGAAUCUUCCGCAAUGGGCGCAAGCCUGACGGAGCAACGCCGCGUGGGUGAAGAAGGCCUUCGGGUUGUAAAGCCCUGUCUUAUGGGAAGAAGUCAGUGACGGUACCAUAGGAGGAAGCCACGGCUAACUACGUG
Molecule: ribosomal RNA, 477 nt
Filed under: uncultured bacterium
Lineage: Bacteria
Description: bacterial SSU rRNA
Rfam family: Bacterial small subunit ribosomal RNA
Source: RNAcentral